AUCAUUAAGGAGCUUUAGAUGAAUAAACACUCAUCAAGGCUAAAAUUAGUGGUUGUGUGUGAAUACAGAGUUGUAAACUAUCAGAACAAAUGGUUGUUAAUUAACAUAUGAUUUUCCUCCCAGCUUCAUCAAGUCUCUUCAGCUUCAUCAGGUCUCUAAUUCAAAGUCCUCAACACCAGGUGGAUUGAAAAGUAAUUUAUUCAAAUUAAAUAAUAAUUUUGAGGAUCUAAAGGCUUAUACCAGACCUUGUCGCAUCACAUGAUGGCUAUAAAUAUUCAUCAUGAUAAGAUCAUGCAUAAACAAAAAGAUGAUGCAAGAGGACUGACCACACUGCCUAGGAAAUCUUUUCUACUUGUCUAGACCACUUCAUAAAAUCUUAAUCAACAGAAUGAACUGAGACACAUUCACCUAUAACAGCAGACAGAAAUAUUACAAAACAGAAAUAUUAGUCUACAACAUGCUUAGACAUUUCACCAGGGGCUAUAUAAUGGGCACAUGACAAUCAGAGGAGCAAAAAUCAUGCUGGUUUUGCUGUAUGUUUAAUUGAAGAUUGGUAAAGCCAUAAGACUGAAAGUCUAUGGGAAAAAUUAUGCUGUGAAUGUCAUUUAAGGCUUGGUAUGAGUUUAAUCCUACAUGGCUAGGCUGUUUGUCUAAGCAGGAAUAAUCAUGGGAGUACACUCAGGACAUGCUAGUUCAUACUAGUUCUUCAUAACAACUAAACCUUAUUGGAUGCUGUAUGCAAAUACUGCUUGAGAUCACAGGCUUAAUUUAUUACCAAAAUGCAUAUUAGUUGACCACAUCAUCAAAGUAUUCAGAUGAUAUGAUGUGUUUAGGUUACCAACAAGAUCAGUUUCUAAACAAAAAAGACAAUAAGGAAUUCAAGGGUAUAGAUUAUAUAUUACUAGUUCAAAAUUAUAUUUGUUUUGAGUAAAGUAAUCACCAUAAAUAAAGAAUUUUAGAAGCAAAGCAUUCAGCAAAGCAAAGCAUCUUAAGACUCAUGAAACCCAGAAUUCAACAAGCAUAGCCAUUGGCUCCUGUAGUGACCAAGUAAUCACUUGUGAUAAAAUGCAGUGUGGAAGCUCAGUCAUUGAAAAAAUGGACUACUAAAUAUUUUACAACUAACAACAGACAUGUAUUAGGUGCAUAAAAGAUGCUAAAGCUCAUGCUUCAUUCAGUGUCAUGACCCACGAAGAGUUAUAUUAGAUACGCGCAGUCUGAUUGGCCAAGAUUACAAUGAAUGCUUGGAUGAGUCAUCCCUUUUUUGUGCUUGAAUAAAAACAAGCAUAAACUGAUAGAACAAUAAAUCAAUCCCUUAGGGAAAAACUCUGCUGUGAAAUUUCCAACCAUUCAUAAGAACUAAUUCUACAAAAGAGAGCUUUAUUGACCUUGAGAAAGAGUGGCUUUUAUGUGGCUCAAAAGAAAGCUUGCUUUUUGUGAAUUGUUUGCUUCGGUUGAUUGGUUACACAGAAAUGAAUUUAGGAAUUCUGCAUGACAGUUUACAGAGUAGAACAAGUGCUGGCAAAUGCAUCAGUCAGAACAAGUGCUGGCAAAUGCAUCAGUCAGAACACUAAGCAAUAAUUUGAGCUGGGCUGAAAUUCAGGGCACUCCUCCAAGUUCCCAAUACAUUAUCUAAACAUAUUACUUGUCAUUGCCAUAGUGAUGUAAACAUUCAAAAAUAGAAUAACAAGUUGUAAUAUUAUAAAUUUGUACAAUGCAGCAUGGCAAUUGGGCAAGCAAAUAGAAUAAAUAUGGAGACUCUUGAAAAACAGAUCAUAGAGCUAACCUCAGUUGAGACGUCACUCACCAGGUAGGGUAUGUGAUGACGGGGCUGUACAACACUUGGCAUUCUCCCUGCAUUUGAAGAUUCUCCGGGGUCUGGGCUGCUAAAGAGAGAUUUCCAAAAAUUAUUCUCACAAAGGGCCCAAACCACAGCAUGACAGGCACAGAAUUCAAGAGAAAAAUGUAAACAGUGAUUGUCCACCCACAGAAACAGUAAAAAUCUUAGGGACUUUGAUACUUAGCAAAACUAGAAUGUCAAUAAACCUAGUGCAAUAACAUUAUUUUGCUCAUAACAAAAUAUAUAAAGUUGACAGCAACAUAGUAGUUUAGGUUAAGAAAGUGUUCAUUAUGCUUUUUAUUUUAUAUCAUUUUACCCAUGUGGUCCAAGAGAAAUGUUCUGUGCAUAUGUAACAAAGGGAAUGUGAAACAAUUAUAAAAGGCUGCAGCCUUAAGAUUGACCUCUAUUGGGCAAAAUUCCAAGUUGCAGACCUUGAUCUCAUACCAGUCAUUAUUUUGUCUAGUUGGAUGAAUUUGAUACACCCCAGUAAUUUAAGAUGCUUAAACUAGGAAACAUGAAGCAAAAUCAAGCCAAAACAGAAAGAAGACAAAAGAAUGAAUAAUGUCAUCCUUCAAUACAAUCUCUAGUUACUAUGGGAAAAUAUAUAUAUAUUUGUACUUAUGGUAGAGCUGAUUUCAACAGGGGUUAUCCACAGAUCUGAACUUUGCACCAAGCAACAUUUCUUACUGGAUCACUAAUUCAAAUUUCUUACAUAGACUCACUCACUCAAAUGUACUGAGCCAAGAGAGCAAAAAUGAAUAAUGGAAAGCUAGCUACACAUUAUAUUGAGUGCAAAUAAUUUGUAAAUCAAAUCCUGCUUUUCAACAGCAAAUUGUAAACAAAAAAAGGAUGAAAGUAAAGGGUGAAAAAUUCAUUAUAAAAAAUCCAUGAAAUGACAUGCUUAAACAGUGCCAGACAUAAUUUUGUGGGAUAAUAAACAUUCUCUGGUGGCUUAAAUACAGAUUUCAAAGGGGAAGUGAGACAGGGGAGAUGUGAUGAAAAAAAGCUAUCAAACAGCUCUUUUUCAUUUACUAGAGCAAGAAAUACUAGCAAUUUUUCAAAGAUUAUAAGAAGUACAAAUAAACAGCCCAUACAGUAUUUUCUUAUCGAAAGUAACAAUGAUGGGAACAAACAAUGUUAAUAAAGGUUACAGAGGCUUCCACAUCUAUUUUGGUGAAAUGUGUUCCCUUAUUUAUCAGUAACAGAAUUCUGAGUGACACUUUUUUUCAAGUCAUAAAAACUGUUUUAUUUGGACUACGGUGUCUUCUUUAUAUAAGAUGUUUCUUGAUAAGGGCAGGAAUCGCUUGGAAGCAUACUUACUCCGUGCCUGCUGUCAUGAGUGAACAUUUGCCAAUAAAUGCAAUAUUUAGAAGGUACUAGAAAGGAUGGGGUCACUCAAGGGCAGACCAUAAUAGUCCCCCAUCAUAUCAGCUGCCACCAAAAUGGAUCCCCAGCACAAGCUUGCCACAAAACCUAGCGAGCAAAUAACAUGAACGUGGGUAAGUCAGAGCUAAAAUAACCCCAGGGAACAAGUAAUGGUUUACACGGCUUACGCAUACAGUGACAACAUAGAAAAUUACAGAAAUUCUAUAUGUGAAGGGCAAAGCAAGCUUGGAUGACAGAGAGUCGUUCAUAGAUGCUUAUGAGAUAUUUGAAUGCCAGAAAUGACCGAUUCGGUUCUUUUAAUGAUCAUGAAAGUUCACUAGUUGUAUUUUUUAAUGAGGAUCACUAGACUGCAUGGAAGUUCAAUCAUUCAUUGCUGCAAUCAGCCUGUAGAUAUGAAGACACAAGGCAUAUAUAUAUCCGUGGAUGUCACAUUAAAAAUUUAUUUUGAAAUAUUGGUAUUGUUUUGAAGAUGAAGGGAAUACCGGACUAUUCGUUUGCAGUGAAAGUGUUUGGUAAGGCAAAGUCUUUAAAUUACAUUUCUAAUUCAACCAUCAACCAGGUAGUUUGGGAGCUGAUAUUCUAAAUGCAAAACAUCGAAGUAAUUAAAAACAAGGUCUUUGUAAUGAGAAGAAAUAAUAACAGCUUCACAUAAAAUAAGCGGAGAAGGCAGGGUCGAAUUUCCCGUUGUCAUUGCCAAACGCGAUCAGUUCCGUGCCUUAAUUUAAGUUUCAAAGAUUAAAAUAAAAAAAAAUACUCGUGGAUAAAAGCUUGCGAUAAGCCUUGCGAAGAAGGAGAUCGAAAUGUGUUUUAAUCAGCACAUAGUCCUAGGCAACUAUCACAUGUGGAAACCAAAUAUAAGUGCAUUUCAACCAAUAACCUUGGCUAACCGAAAUCCCUAGUUAUGGUUGAAAUGCGAGUGAAAUAAGUUUGGUGGGCCUUCCAUGAUACCACACUGCGAAAUACAAGAAGCUUUCAUUUAUGAAAUCAUUGGGUUUUGCAUCGCGUACUUUACAAGUAAUAUCCGCAAGAAAUAGUAAACAACUGAGAUGUUUGUUGCUUCGAUCUCUCGUUUCCCGAUGUAUUCGAAAAUUCUUUCCGAUAACACAUUGUUAGAUUUCAAAAGGGACAAACCAAGCAGGAAUGUGUGCGCAAUUGAGGGUAACAAAAAUACAAGGGUUUUUUUAAUUCCACAGAGGAUUUGGUCUGGAACGAAAUGAAUACGACAGCGAUGAAUACCCAUCGCAAAAAUCAACAGCUUCGUUUCCAUCUCAAUAUUAACGAAGAGUUGGUUCGAGAUUGUAGUAAGUUUUAGGGUGUAACCAUCAAAAUUUUGCCAGUGUCAUAGAAGAUAUUAUUACCGAGGCAAAAACGAAAUGAGAGAGUUUUCGGGGGCUAAAGGGCAUGUCAUACGACAUGUGGCAGUAAUUGAAAACCCUAGUAGGGCUCUACAGAAAGCAUCUCACGAAUUUACUACCCAAACAUGAAUAUCAACGCGAUUUAAGAGCAGUUUCUCGAAUGGAGUCUCUUGUUAUUCGUGUUUUUUUUUCAAGAUUCAGUAUGUUUUUUUUUUCAACAUGCAAAGCUGUGGGCUGAUUCGCUUCCUGUUGUAUUCACACAACACAAUCACAAAGGAAACACACAAAAGCCUCGAAAGACCACGCUGCCGUGGCCAACACGUUCGCCAAACACUUCCCUUCUCCUAGAAUCAUUUAUUCAGCCUCAGAUCAUAGUUUUCGAAGAAGCGAAAGUACUUAUGGGGGGAACUGAGUUUCGAUAGCGAAACCACUCUCGCUAGCUGCCAUGUGCGAACUUUCCAUACAUUAAUGAUAGCGGACGAGAAACGCAGAGACAAACACGACAGAUGGCGACUAGAGAACCCUGAAAGCGACUAAUCACAACACUGCAAGACACUCGCCAUUAAUUCCGCAACUAUAACCCUAAAAGCCUCCUUUAAAAUGGACACGAUAAUCAUACCACUACAGCUUAAUUUCGCGACACAACCUCCGACAAAAAAACGCACGGUAUUCUUGAAUGUAGAUUUUUGGUGUAGAAUCGAUUGAUAACUUAAUUUGAACAAGGGAAUCAUCGACUAGAAGAGAAAUCAUUGCCUAUCUGGAUAGAACAAGGGACAAAUUACAAGCAGAAGAUUGGGGAGCUAUGUUAAUACGUAAGAGAAUAUAGUAUUUUGUGUCGAGAGGUUCGUUUUAAAGGCCCGCCCCAGCUACUGAGAUGAAUUCGUUCGUAAGACAGUUUAUCCGACAGCGUAGACCCCACCAAAUAAAAUAUACAUAACAAGGGAACUUCCCACGCUAAAAUUACGACAUUGUAUGUCAAGGCCGUAAAGAUCUGGCUAGAAAUCGAGUAAAUGUUCAAUCGUAUGGUAGUGGGGUGUCGGAUUUCACUUUGUGGAUCGACCAACUUUAUCAAAACAACAUGGCGAACGGACACAUGGGAAAUACGCUGGGAUAAAAUAGAAAGGCAGUAGAGUAAGAAACAAUCUUCAUAAUGAUAACAAUCACCACAGAAUAGAUUAAUACAAAAAUGUGCAAUAAAUCCAAUUUCUUUGACGGCUAAAAGCGAGGGAAAUAUUUUAAAAAACAAAGCGUUUCAACCAGAUAUGUGGCGAGAUGUCGAGUGCCAAGUACACGUUUUUUACGAUGUAGAAAAAGUUAAAAUAAAGAUUAAAUAAAA
Molecule: long non-coding RNA, 5914 nt
Organism: Nematostella vectensis (starlet sea anemone)
Lineage: Eukaryota; Metazoa; Cnidaria; Anthozoa; Actiniaria; Edwardsiidae
Exons: 2
Source: RefSeq, a predicted model, not a curated record